This 904-nucleotide ribosomal RNA is filed under the name uncultured bacterium. Its description in RNAcentral is "bacterial SSU rRNA". It matches the Rfam family "Bacterial small subunit ribosomal RNA", at positions 8 to 916 of the family's 1533-position model. The record is from RNAcentral.
AGAGUUGAUCCUGGCUCAGGAUGAACGCUGGCGGCGUGCCUAACACAUGCAAGUCGAGCGUGAACCCUGCGAAUGAAACUUCGGUCGAUUUUGCAGGAGGAAAGCGGCGGACGGGUGAGUAACGCGUGGGUAACCUGCCCCAUACUGAGGGAUAGCCUCGGGAAACCGGGAUUAAUACCUCAUAACACCGUUUGUUCGCAUGGACGAACGGUCAAAGAUUUACCGGUAUGGGAUGGGCCUGCGUCUGAUUAGCUGGUUGGUGGGGUAACGGCCUACCAAGGCGACGAUCAGUAGCCGACCUGAGAGGGUGAUCGGCCACAUUGGAACUGAGACACGGUCCAAACUCCUACGGGAGGCAGCAGUGGGGAAUAUUGCACAAUGGGCGAAAGCCUGAUGCAGCAACGCCGCGUGAGCGAAGAAGGCCUUUGGGUUGUAAAGCUCUGUCGGGUAGGAAGAUAAUGACGGUACUACCCGAGGAAGCCCCGGCUAACUACGUGCCAGCAGCCGCGGUAAUACGUAGGGGGCGAGCGUUAUCCGGAAUUACUGGGUGUAAAGGGUGCGUAGGUGGCUGCUUAAGCGUGAGGUGAAAGGCAAUGGCUUAACCAUUGUGAGCCUCGCGAACUGGGUGGCUUGAGUGCAGGAGGGGAAAGCGGAAUUCCUAGUGUAGCGGUGAAAUGCGUAGAUAUUAGGAGGAACACCAGUGGCGAAGGCGGCUUUCUGGACUGCAACUGACACUGAGGCACGAAAGCGUGGGGAGCAAACAGGAUUAGAUACCCUGGUAGUCCACGCCGUAAACGAUGAGCACUAGGUGUCGGGGUCGCAAGACUUCGGUGCCGCAGUUAACGCAUUAAGUGCUCCGCCUGGGGAGUACGCACGCAAGUGUGAAACUCAAAUGAAUUGACGG